RNAcentral lists this ribosomal RNA (425 nucleotides) under uncultured bacterium. RNAcentral's name for it is "partial 16S ribosomal RNA". It matches the Rfam family "Bacterial small subunit ribosomal RNA", at positions 354 to 796 of the family's 1533-position model. The record is from RNAcentral.
GUGGGGAAUCUUGCGCAAUGGGCGAAAGCCUGACGCAGCCAUGCCGCGUGAAUGAUGAAGGUCUUAGGAUUGUAAAAUUCUUUCACCGGGGACGAUAAUGACGGUACCCGGAGAAGAAGCCCCGGCUAACUUAGUGCCAGCAGCCGAGGUAAUACGAAGGGGGCUAGCGUUGCUCGGAAUUACUGGGCGUAAAGGGCGCGUAGUCGGAUCGUUAAGUCAGGGGUGAAAUCCCAGAGCUCAACUCUGGAACUGCCCUUGAUACUGGCGAUCUUGAGUGUGAGAGAGGUAUGUGGAACUCCGAGUGUAGAGGUGAAAUUCGUAGAUAUUCGGAAGAACACCAGUGGCGAAGGCGACAUACUGGCUCAUUACUGACGCUGAGGCGCGAAAGCGUGGGGAGCAAACAGGAUUAGAUACCCGAGUAGUCC